CUGCAUUUUCCAGGGGGCGGCAAAAAAAGCCGCCCCCAAAUAUCGGGCGAGUGGUGCUGGUGAGGGAGCACUUUCCCCUGAGCUCUCUGCUCAGCUCUCUCACGCACUGCAGAGUGACGCUGGGAGCCGGAAUAUGAUGUCACCGCCCGCCCAGCAGCCCAGCAGCCACUGGACCCCAGGGAAAGGGAGAACCCCCCCAGCAUUCCCAAAGGUAAGGAGGCUGGGGGGGGGUUGAAUUUAAAAAAAAAAGUGUGUGUUAGUGUG
This is a non-coding RNA of Pelobates cultripes (western spadefoot toad), 264 nucleotides long. The record is from the annotation of a GenBank genome assembly. NCBI's taxonomy places the organism in Eukaryota, Metazoa, Chordata, Amphibia, Anura, Pelobatidae.